RNAcentral lists this ribosomal RNA (484 nucleotides) under uncultured Lewinella sp. RNAcentral's name for it is "bacterial SSU rRNA". It matches the Rfam family "Bacterial small subunit ribosomal RNA", at positions 28 to 505 of the family's 1533-position model. The record is from RNAcentral. Lineage: Bacteria; Pseudomonadati; Bacteroidota; Saprospiria; Saprospirales; Lewinellaceae.
GAUGAACGCUAGCGGGAGGCUUAAUACAUGCAAGUCGAGCGAGAAGGUUUUUAGCUUGCUAAGAACUGGACAGCGGCGCACGGGUGAGUAACGCGUACGCAAUCUACCUUAUACAGGAGAAUAGCCCCGGGAAACUGGGAUUAAUGCUCCAUGGCAUUUAGAAGUGGCAUCACUUUUAAAUUAAAGAUCCGUCGGUAUAAGAUGAGCGUGCGUAUUAUUAGCUUGUUGGUGAGGUAACGGCUCACCAAGGCUACGAUAAUUAGGGGGCGUGAGAGCGUGACCCCCCACACGGGUACUGAGACACGGACCCGACUCCUACGGGAGGCAGCAGUAAGGAAUAUUGGACAAUGGGCGCAAGCCUGAUCCAGCCAUCCCGCGUGGAGGAUGACGGCCCUAGUGGUUGUAAACUCCUUUUAUAUGAGAAGAAACCCUUUCAUUUAUGAGAGGCUGACGGUAUCUUAUGAAUAAGCACCGGCUAACUCCG